CCACUGUAUGUCCAUAAGGAUGUACUUCAUUAGCUCUUUCAUAAAGGUACAUACGAACAAUUGCAUCUUGCUCUGCCUCUGCUCCUAAUAGUCCUGCCACAAGCUAUGAUUGAAAAAAAGAAAAUGUCACCACAUAUAUUGACCAAAUAUAUAGACUAGACACAAAAUUAUAAGAAAAAGAAAGACUUUGAAACAUGUGGUCUAAAUUAAGUAAGUAGAAAUUUCAGUGACUAUAAAUCCUUUUAUUAAGAGUAAAAUAAAAGAUUUGAAAUUAAAUUAUUACUACUAAAUAUGAAAAGAGACCAUUCUUUUGAAAAUUUAAUAAAAAGGAAAAAAACAUCACAUCAAUUGAGAUGGAGAAAGUAAGGUUUUAGAUCACACAAUCAACCUUUGAUUGAACUAAUCACAGAUCUCUCACCCUUGUUGUUUAGGUUCUAAAACUCCAUUUCUAGUUGGGGGUUUCGAUCGAUUAAAAGAAAUGUGGUGCGGAGUUAUCUAUCGAUCAGUUCAGGCAAGGGAGGGUGUUUGAGUAAAAUAGAAGAGUAGCAGAUCACAGUUGACUUAAAAGAAUGAUUGAAAUCCAUAGGUGCAAUCCGUUGUUGUGGUUGGAGCUACAAGCCUGUCUAUGGAUUCAGCAAAUGUGAAUAGCUUUGAUUCAGAUCUUAUU
RNAcentral lists this long non-coding RNA (667 nucleotides) under Capsicum annuum. RNAcentral's name for it is "long non-coding RNA (CANN_LNC014801)". Lineage: Eukaryota; Viridiplantae; Streptophyta; Magnoliopsida; Solanales; Solanaceae. The record is from RNAcentral.